Long non-coding RNA from Anarrhichthys ocellatus (wolf-eel), 1921 nucleotides. RefSeq lists it as uncharacterized. Lineage: Eukaryota; Metazoa; Chordata; Actinopteri; Perciformes; Anarhichadidae. The record is from RefSeq and is a predicted model, not a curated record. The transcript is spliced from 2 exons.
GUCUAUAAGAGCAGAUCGCCGGGACAGCCCGCUGAAUUUCAUGACGGCCGUGAGGUGCAGGAGCGAGAAGCGAGAUUGAAAGAUAAAUCAAAAUUCGAACUACUUCUGCCGAAAAUUACGCACCAGUGCUGACCAUGAGGUUAGUUUUGAUCAAGUCUUAACCUAAAGACAUCUCAGCUGGGCCGAAGAAGACCAAGAGGUAAGUUGUCCUUUUCAUUGUGCCAUUUGUUUUUGUCCUAUGCACAUUUUGAUUACAGCAGCGGUCUUGAUCCACGUGUGGCAAUACAUUACAACAAGGAUGAGCUUGUUAAAUCGGCGUACGGUCACUCUUUUUCCCGUCAGCGAAUUUCCCUCUGCGUGCCAUGUCGUGAAUCUACGGUAGAUUACGGCGGCUGGAAGUUACUGCAGUGUGAGUCACUUUGGCGCACAUGGGCAGUGACAACUGUAGAAAAGGAUGGAAUGUCUUGUAGGGUGUAGGCUGCGCCGACUGCAUGUUAACCAGGCUGCAUCCCCGCAGAAAGUCAAUAGCGAAUCACGACAUGCGGAUGAUAUAUAUGAAUAUUUUUCAAGGGUAUCAGCCGUUGUGGGACGUGUCCUGUCGGGCUGCUUCUAUGACUCAUUAAUACCUAACACACAGCCAAGAGUGCUUGUAAGAGUUAAGCUGAACCAAAACAUAAAACACACAGAAUCAACCGUAAGGUAUCCGUUAGUGUUACGGUGGAGAGACCUACUUUAAAUAAAGUGACCUAUUAUUAUAGCUUCGGCGGGCAGAUCGCCUCUCCCUGGUUCGGCAGUUGUUUUUCCCCUUUUUUUUCAUGUUGAAAUGACAUCGUGACGCGUUGUUGAGAUGAAGUCAAUUUUGCGUCAUUCCUGCGCACAUGCAGACGUCUCCCGAUCACCCGUCAGAUGGCUUUAAAGACACAGCGCGAGUCGCCUAUAUACGUCUACAGCCUGCAUUGCAAUGUGUCUCUAUAGGUGGAGAAGAUGAGGGAGGUGAGGGGGUGGGAAGCCCAGGGGGCCUGAUGAAAACUCCCCAGUGUAACUCCUGGAGGGGGCUAUGACCAGAAUUACAAUGAGCGUGGUUCAAUAACCUCUCCAGCUGUCUCGUGUCCAGCUGCGCAGGGUACAUUCACCGCGGAAACAACAUGGGGCAUAAAAAAAGAUCAGCGAUACACUUUUGAAGAUCUUUCAAAGAGCUGGAAUAACCAGCGGCUCCGACAGCCGCGUGGCGCUGUCCAUGGCGCUGACCGUGGUCUGGUCUGUGGGUUGACCGUCAUGGGGGCUAAAUUAAAAAAACAACAUUGUGAUAAACUAGGAAGCUGCAGUUUCUAAUACACAAACAUUAACAAUAAGCCUUUGUGUCCAUGCAGUCAGUGAACCAUCCAAGAUUUCUCCAUACAGAAUAAUAUUACAGACGUCUUAAAAAUGUUAUAUGAGAUUUCGUUACCAUGGUUCGUUAUCAGUUCACGAGUAGGAAUAUUGUAAACUUUCCAGCCUCUACCGAGCAUGUGCAUGCCUCUUACUAAUAGAGAGGCGCAUCUCUAGAGACAUUUACGGCUCACGCAGCAGCACUGUUGGUCGGUCAGCAGAAGAUUUUCAGGACCAUGGACAGCGACAGAGUCCAGAUACUUUGUCACAGAGCAAAUUGGUCUACUUUCGAUGAAUAAGAAUAACAAAGAUCAGAUUUUCAAAUGUAGUUCAGAGCUGCACUUUGAUAACUGUUAAUAGAAGUAGGGCCUAACUGGUAGUGACACGGACAAAAAUAUGACACAGGAACAAGUCCAAGUCUGUGGUAACUUCUGGUGACACUUGAGUGGCAACUUUUGUACUUGCACACUCACAUUGCUCCUUUCCCUUUCAUCCUCGCCUAUUUAGAUUCCUUUAGGAGAAAAAUAGUUCACAUGAAAACACACAUAUCCCU